AUCCUGUAUUUUACAUACUCCAUGUCGGACGCUCCAUAUACAUGGCUUCGUUGCUUCCGCCCCCAGCCCUUUUAAGUCACUCGAUAGGACUAUGAUGGACAAUUUUCAAAAAGGUAACAUCGUGGCCUUUGGUAAAAUGAACGCCCAUCAAAGAUUUUGUGUAGAUCGUUAAUCAAGAAGGGAACUGCUAAAAGGUAAACACGAGUGCCAAUUCAGAUUGAACUUGCAGAGUCUUAUCUUUUCCACCAGCCGGAACUGAUUUGUAUCGCCCUGCGUCAGACCGGUACAUAGAUCUGCAGGCACCUUAUCAAUUUCCUGUAAGUUAGCUUCUGUCUCUACCGAAUUGUAAAACAGCCUGUCCGGGGACCGUCACGGGGACACACACCUCUGGAAUCCGAUAACUCGUGACCGUCUAUGGAGCAAUGCCCAGCACCGACAGACAACUCAGGGAUCUCCUAGGCCCGUUUCAAAGGCUUUUACACUUUCCCCGGGGCUUCAGCCUUCCCACUCGGUAGACAAGUCAGCUAAAGAUGGAAAUGUUAGAUUGUGCGCCCGAGGUCUUGACCUAGUAGGCCUGGAUGAAGCUGUAGGUCGGCCUGGCUCCUUGGCAGCGGCGACUCGGUCCCUGGGCCACACGGAGCCUGCUUUGUUCUCCGUGCUGCCUUGUCAUCCAGCUCUGGCAGGGGAUGUGGACACACAAAGAGAAGGAAUUUUCAAGGAGGGUCUGGCAGAGGGGUCAAGCUCUGUGCUCGGCUUUCUGAGAAGCCGUGUUCCUCACACCCAUGGGCCCCUCCCGUGGGCGGGAGUGGGGGGCUCUCCCACGUCACCCUCAGUCUCUCCGGGAGGCAGAGAGCAGGUGGGCAUGGGGAUCCCUGUUCCUGCAUGCAGGGGCCUGAGCCCAGAUGUCUCUGAGGUUUCCUGAAGGCGGGUAAGUCCUCUCAUCUGGCCUCUGGAGAAUGAUAAGGGUCCAGUGCACAGCCCUGACUCCCGAACUCUUUCUGGAGCCUGAUGUGGCCUCGACGAGGGCUCUGAAGUCCUUGCUGGUAGCCGCCCAUCUUCGAGACUUCCAAGGUGGAGGCCCUUCACCAGCUUGAGCAAGGCUGCCAAGGAGCUCCGUUGGUUGAGGCUGCCUGAAAUGUCUACUUGGGCACGAUGUGAGACGCCCCCAAACUGGACAGCCCCCUCUCAGCUGACAGCGCAGGGAUUCCGGCCCCUCCAGGCCAAAAGCUAAGAUGGGAGAGAUGCUGAAGCCCCUCAAUACGAGGAGUCACAAAAGAGAGAGGAAGCCGCUCAGUAGGGCGACGUGAUCAACAAUGGAUAUUGAUUAAGAAACGAACUGUUACUGUUUCAAGCUACCGAUUGUGGGGUUGUUUGUUAGAGCAGCUAUCACUAAUUAUUCUGAUGAAUGUUGUUUCGCUGUAUCGCCCAAAGCUUUCAUUCAACUUCUCUUUGUCUUUGAUGGAGUUUAUUGACAACCUCCUGUAUUGCAACAAUUGCACAUUUGCUGCUCCUGAUUAUAACAGCAAGGAGAUUGUUCUGAAAGUUCACAAAACCCAACAAUCACACGCCUGGGAAUUUGUCUCGGAAAAAUAAACAUUUAUAUGCAGGUAAACACCUGUAUAGGAUUGUUCAUAAGUAGCUUUACUUGUGAUAGCUCCAAACAGGAAACAACAGAAAUAUCCCUCCAUAGAUGAAUGGUUUAAAAAAAAUGGUACUUUCAUACCAGAGAAUGCUACUCAGGAAUUAAAGAAAACAAACUAUUGGAUUCAAGACCUAAAUGCGAGACCUGAAAUCAUAAAACUCCAGAAAGGAAACAUAAGAUAGUGAUCCCUUGGAAGUCAACCUUAGUAACAUAUUUAUGGGUAUGUCCCUUUAGGCAAGGAGAACAAAAACAAAAAUAAACUAUUGGGACUACACCAAAAUAAAAAGAUUGUGCAGAAGGGUGGCUCAGUUAGUUGAUCAUCCAAUUCUUGAUUUCGGCUCAGGUCAUGAUCCCGGGGUUAUGGGAUUAAGCGCCAUGUCAGACUCUGUGCUGAGCAUGGAACCUGUUUAAGAUUCUCUCUCUCUCUCCCUCUGCCCCUCUUCUCCGCUUGCGCUCUCUUUAUCUAAAAUGAAAAAAAAAAAGAAAAAGAUUUUGCAUAGAGAAGGAAAUCAUCGACAAAAUGAAGAAACAACCUACUGAAUGGGAGAUGAUAUUUGCAAAUGAUAAAUCCAACAAGGAGUUAAUAUACAAAAUAUUUUUAGUAAACAAUUAUAAGUACAAAACUUAUACAGCUCAACACCAACCCCCCAAUAAUCUAAUUAAAAAUGGACAGAGGAUCUGAAUAGACAUUUUCCCAAAGACAUACAGAUGGCCAACAGACAUAUGCAAAGUUGUUCAAUAUCACUAAUCAUCAGGGAAAUGCAAGUCAAAACCAAAAUGAGAUCUCAGUUCACACCUGUCAGAAUGACUAGAAUAAAAAAAAAUAAAUAAAUAACAGGUGUUAAUGAGGAUGUGGAGAAAAGGAAACCCUCAUGCACUAUUGGUGGGAAUGUAAGUUGGCACAACCACUGUGGAAAACAGUAUGGAGGUCCCUCAAAAAAUUAAAAAUAGAAAUGCCAUAUAAUUCAGUAAUUCCACUACUGGGUACCUAUCCAAAGGAAAAAAAAAACCACGAAUUCAAAACAAUGCAUCUUUAUGUUCAUUGAAGCAUUAUGUAUAAUAGCCAGGAUAUGGGAGCAACCCUUGUGUCCAGUGACAGAUGACUAGAUAAAGAAGAUGUGAGUAUAUAGUACUCAGCCACAAAAAAAGAAUGAGAUCUUGCCAUUUGCAAAAACACUGAUGGACCUAGAGGAUGUUAUACUAAGUGAAAGAUGUCAGACAGAGAAAGACAAAUACUACGUGAUUGCAUUUUGAUGUGGAAUCUAAGGAUCAAAACAAAUGAGUGAACAAGGAAACAAAACAGAGACAGACUCAAAUACAGAAACAAACUGGUGGUUGCCAGAGGGGAGCAGUGGGGAGAUGGGCAAAAUAUGUGAAGGGGCUGAAGAGGUACAAACUUGCAGUUAUAAAUAAUUAAGUCAUGGAGAUGAAAAGUACAGACUAGGGAAUGUAGUCAAUAAUAUUGUAAUAAGGUAUGGUGAUAGAUAGUAACUACGCUUGCCAUGGUGAGCUUUGCAUGAUGUAUUCAGAAAAAUACGCCAAAACAUACUGAUACAUGCCAUGGCUUGGAUAGAUCUCAAGGGCAUUGUGCAGAAUGAAAAAAAACAAAAACAAUUUCAGAAGGUCACAUACUGUGUUACUCCAUUUGCAUAAAACGUUGGUGUAAUGAAAAAAUUACAGAGAUGGAAAACAGAUUGCUAGUGGUUGACAGAGGACAGAGAGGGUGAGGGCUGGGGUGAGAGGGUGUGUGACUUCCUGACUAGUGUGUGGGAGCCCUUGGACGUGAUGGGAUCGUUCUGUAUCUUGAUCAUGGUGGUGAUUAUAUGAAUCCCCACACGUGAUAAAAUCCACAGAUCCACACACAUGCGUCGUACCGAUGUCCAUUCCCUAUCAAAUUAUGGAAGAUGAAGUCACUGAAGGAAACCAGGUUUUCAGGCUCUUUUUAUGAAUUUCAGGCAACUUUUUAUGAAUCUGUAAUUAUUGCAAAACUACCAUCGAUGAAGCCCUUACUCUAUGUUGGGGUCCAGGCAUUUUUCCUGUGCCAUCUCAGUCCUCAUAACAUUAGGAGGUGGGUAUUUUUAUCCUCAUUUUACAGAUCUGGAAACUAAGGAAUUAACAGAUGAAAUAACAUGAAGAAGCCCACACAACUAGACACUAAUUUAGGAACGAGGAAGGCAAGUUCGUUUAUGUGCACCCACAAAUGCCGUUCCUCACACCUACCCGUACAUCUACUCCGUGUUUUCUCGAGAGUAGCGCCCUAUCACUUUAGUGCCACUUGGUAAAUGGCCAUUAUUUUGAUAAGAAAGCAGAAGAAAGAUACUGGACCUUGAAAUGUUUUUCUGGCAGGUAGCUGGGUUAGAUGACACCUAAGUUUACAAAAAUGAGCGGCCAAAAAGCAUCAGAUCCCGAAUGUCCCCAUGACUAAAACAUCCCUGAAGGAAAACUGAACACAACUGCUUACCCAGGUCUAACAAUGUUUGUUAAGUACUUACGGCCCAGCUUCCCUGUGGGUCUGCACGUUCUGAAUUUCCUACCCUGGCAUGGAAACGAUUUUAUUUUUGUUUAAUUUUGCUGGUUACCUUUUACAUCCAGGAAAGCAUAUAAAUCCAUUUCCCCCAUAACGUUACACGGAAAGAUUCUGGGACUUCAAAACAAUUUCGUCUAUUUGCUUACUCUGCCUUUGGCACGCUGACCUUGCAAUUCCUCAAGCGUGCCAAACUCAGUACUGCCACAGGAUCUUUGCACUUCCUGUUCUCCCUGGUGCACUCUUCCAAUGGAUCAUCACACGGCAAUUUCUCUGGCUUUAACGGGGCCCCUCCUCAAAUUUCUUUUUCCCAGAGAAGUUGUUCCUCAAAUAUAAUAAAUGUAUUUAUUUUUUAAAUUUCUGUUUAUUUUGAGAGAGAGAGAGAGAGAGCAUGCACAAGUGAGAGUGGGGGAAGGGCAGAGGGCGAAGGAGAGAGAGAAUCCCAAGCAGGCUUCAUGCUGUCAGCACAGAGCCUGAUGCAGGGCUUGAACCCACAAACCGUGCGAUCAUGACCUGAGUUGAAAUUAAGAAUCAAACACUUAACCAAUGAGCCACCCAGCCACCCCUGUGAUCAAUGUAUUUAAAGUAGCC
Molecule: long non-coding RNA, 4757 nt
Organism: Acinonyx jubatus (cheetah)
Lineage: Eukaryota; Metazoa; Chordata; Mammalia; Carnivora; Felidae
Exons: 4
Source: RefSeq, a predicted model, not a curated record